AUUGAACGCUAGCGGGAUGCUUUACACAUGCAAGUCGAACGAGUGGCGGACGGGUGAGUAAUAUAUCGGAACGUGCCCAGUAGCGGGGGCUAACUACUCGAAAGAGUGGCUACUACCGCAUACGAUUGGAGCGGCCGUUGUCGGAUUAGCUAGUUGGUGGGGUAAAGGCUCACCAAGGGAACGAUCCGUAGCUGGUUUGAGAGGAAGACCAGCCACACUGGGACUGAGACACGGCCCAGACUCCUACGGGAGGCAGCAGUGGGGAAUCUUCGACAAUGGGGGAAACCCUGAUCCAGCCAUCCCGCGUGUAUGAGAAGGCCUUCGGGUUGUAAAGUACUUUUGGCAGAGAAGCGGUAUCUGACGAAUAAGCACCGGCUAACUACGUGCCAGCAGCCGCGGUAAUUC
This 405-nucleotide ribosomal RNA is filed under the name uncultured bacterium. RNAcentral describes it as "partial 16S ribosomal RNA". It matches the Rfam family "Bacterial small subunit ribosomal RNA", at positions 30 to 526 of the family's 1533-position model. The record is from RNAcentral.